This 1752-nucleotide long non-coding RNA is filed under the name Elaeis guineensis (African oil palm). RNAcentral describes it as "long non-coding RNA (EGUI_LNC043971)". The record is from RNAcentral. Lineage: Eukaryota; Viridiplantae; Streptophyta; Magnoliopsida; Arecales; Arecaceae.
UCUAGCUCAACUAUCUGUAUGUCUCCUUAAGUUACAACAACAAGCCAACAAAAUGAAAACUUUAGGGAUACAAAUAUUAGAUCAUUAGAGCUUGCUUUAGUUGGCUUUCAAGAAACUAUAAAAUUUACUUUUGUCUUCACUCGACUCAGCUGAACUUUAUUUCUAGUUCUUUGUUUAGGAUCAUUCAACUCUUCAACCGCACUUUUGCUUCUCCUUACUUUGUCUUAUAUAAAAAACUUGUUUGAAGUAUUAAUGUCAAUUGGCAUAUCCAGCUGAACUUUGUCUCUAUGUAUCUACUUCUUUCUGUAUUUUUUCCAUAUUGUAGAGUAAUAUUUUUUCAAGUAUUUUUCAUUGAUCAUUCGGUCAUAUACAUCCCCAUCCAUAAUUCUCAAUUGAUACACGACACCUUGCUAUAUACGAUGCACCAUAAAUGGUCCUUCCUAAUUUGGUGACCAUUUACCAAAUUUUGGCUCUUUCUAUCCCAAUAGAAAGAUAGUUUUUCAUACUAAUUCUUCUUUUCUAAAACACUUUGGCUGAAUCCUCUUAUCAUAAAUUCGGGCCACUUUUCUCUUCUGAGCCCUUAUCCAUUCUAGCAAAUUUAACCUUUUUUCAUCUAAGGUGACUACAAGUCUGUGAAUACUCCUUUUCAAUUGCAAAUUCUAAUGUAACAUGUGCCCUGAUUUCACAGUUAAUUCCAUCGAAAGCAUAUCACCAUGAUUGAAAGUUAGAGCAUAUGAUGUUGUACCUAUAGAUGUUCUUUUUGAAGUUCUAUAACCCUAAAGUACCUCCAACAAUACUCCAUGCCAUACCUUCUGUCUUUCACCAACAAACUUCUUUAUAUUAUUUACUAGAACAUUGUUUGUUGCUUCAGCCUAUCCAUUUUCUUAUGCAUAGUAAGAGGUUGAGUGAAUUAUCUUGAACUCAGACUCUUCUGCAAAGCUUUUCACCUCUUGACCAAUAAAAAUAGGACUUUAAUCUUCUGUUAUAGUUUCUGGUUGACCGAAUCUAUGUAUAAUUUAUUGUCUAAUAAAGUCGCUAAUGGACAUCUAAUUUACUGAUCUCAUAGGGACUGGUUCAACCCAUUUAGUGAAAUAAUCAAUUGCCAUAACAAUGAACUCAUACCCUUUGAAGAAGCUGGAUAAAUUUGACCAAUCAGAUCCAUUGCCUGACCUCUGAAUGGCCAAUGUUUAAUCACAUAUUAUCAUCUUCACUAUAGGAAUUCUUUGGAUAGGUCCAUGUUUCUGACAUGCUUGAUAAUCUCUAGCAUACUGAAUGCAAUCCUCUUUCAUCUUCAGCCAAAUUUAUCCAUGCCAUGUAAUUAACUAAUGUAUUUUUAGUCUGGCUUGAUAAUUCCACAUAUUUCUUCAUGCACUUCUUCUAUUACUAAUAAAGAUUCUUCCUUUCCAAUACAUCUCAAAAAAAGACCAUCCGGCUUUCUCUUGUAUAACUCAUCCUCAAUCAAGAUAUAACUAAGGGACCUUAACCUAAUUUCUCGAUCCACACUUUCCAAAGGUUCUUUGAGAUAUUGAAUAAUCGGGUGUCUCCAAUUAUUUUGAGCAACUUGAAGCUCAUUAAUACACAAAAUCACCUCUUCAGCCAUCUACAAUUGAUGAUAGUACUCUUCUUUCUACUUAAUUAUUCUUUAUAGUAUUCCCUUAGGUAUCUUCAAUCCAGAUGUAAUUUGCGCCAGUUCAUUAGCCGAAUGAUUCUCCAUCUUAGGAAUAAAUUCUAGUAUUACUUCCAUAAAUCUUC